Molecule: non-coding RNA, 31 nt
Filed under: Mus musculus (house mouse)
Lineage: Eukaryota; Metazoa; Chordata; Mammalia; Rodentia; Muridae
Source: RNAcentral
UGAAACUAUCAAGUGAGGCCAGUGUGGUGUU